GGGGGGGAAGGGGGCCAACCUGGCGGAGAUGAGCUCGCUUGGGCUGCCCGUGCCGCCGGGGUUCACCAUCACCACCGAGGCCUGCGUCCACUACUACGCCAACGGGCGGUCGUACCCCGCAUCCCUGGAGGCGCAGGUGCGUGAGGGGCUCGAGCGGGUGGAGGAGUUGACCGGUAAGCGCUUCGGCGAUCCGGCGAACCCGCUGCUCGUUUCCGUCAGGUCGGGGGCGCGGGCGUCGAUGCCCGGCAUGAUGGACACCGUUCUGAACCUCGGCCUGAACGACGAGACGGUGGAGGGGCUGGCGCGUCUGUCGGGAGAUAGGCGUUUUGCUUUCGACAGUUAUCGGCGCUUCAUCCAGAUGUACUCCAACGUGGUGCUGGGCCUUGAGCACCACACGUUCGAGGAGAUCCUCGACGACUGGAAGGAGCGGCUGGACGCCUCGGGCGACAC
Molecule: unclassified non-coding RNA, 450 nt
Filed under: plant metagenome
Description: partial contains 5.8S ribosomal RNA, internal transcribed spacer 2, and large subunit ribosomal RNA
Source: RNAcentral